Long non-coding RNA from Nannospalax galili (Upper Galilee mountains blind mole rat), 960 nucleotides. RefSeq lists it as uncharacterized. Lineage: Eukaryota; Metazoa; Chordata; Mammalia; Rodentia; Spalacidae. The transcript is spliced from 3 exons. The record is from RefSeq and is a predicted model, not a curated record.
CUUCAGGGUUGACCUGGGCAGCCAUAGUUAAGGGAGACCGGCUGGAGACCAAAGCCAGAGGCGAGCAGUGGGCAGUGUCGGUGUUCGAGUCUGCCCACAGAGGAGACUUUAAUCACAAAACGGGAAUUGUGCACUCUGAAAUUGUUCUGAAGCUGUUCCAGGAACCAAGGAUAAAUACUUGGGUCUCAGCCCAUUCCAUUGUUUCCAGCUGGAACGCCUUCUCUGGUGGACUCAAACCAAAUGUCUUGGUUCUUGGCCACUGUCACCAGGAGUCUCUGUCUCUACAAACUCUUGCUUUGAAAUCUCUCACUCCCUCUGGAGAAUCAGCAGCUGAACCCUUCAGAAACAUCACCGUUCCCAGUGGAUCAGCCUCUCAUCUUUCUGCUGAAGUCUAGAGCCAUCACCCUGGAAGAGUUGUGACUUUCCUGAGGGGCUUCCACGUACUAAGACAUUGUCCCACUAUGUGACUUUCUCUUUCUUUUUUUCAUUUUUAUUUAUGUAUGUGUGUUGGCACAUGUGUGUCACGAUGAGCAUGUGGAGAUCAAAGGACAACAUGUGGGAGUCAGUUCUGUCCUUCCACCAUGUGGUCUUCAGGCUUGUCAGGAAGCACCUUUAAUCCACUGUACUAUCUUGACAGCUUUUUUCCUUCCCUUCUUCCUUCCUUUCCUCCUUCUUUUUCUCUCUCUCUCUUUCUUUUUCUUUUUUUUUUUGGGGGGGGGGACAAGGUCUCUUAUGUAGUCUAGACUAGCCUCAAACUCAAUAUGUAGUUGAGGAUGAACCUGAACUCCUCAUCCUCCGCCCUCAGCCUCCCAAAUAUUGGAACUACAAACUUGAGGCACUACUCUCCGCUCACCAUGUGAAUUUAUUUUAUUUUAUUGAUUGAUUUAUUUACUUUUUAUUUAUUUUGGUCUUUUUGAGACAGGGUCUCCCUGUAGCCCCAGCUGUCCUGGAACUCACUAU